RNAcentral lists this ribosomal RNA (231 nucleotides) under uncultured bacterium. Its description in RNAcentral is "partial 16S ribosomal RNA". It matches the Rfam family "Bacterial small subunit ribosomal RNA", at positions 28 to 260 of the family's 1533-position model. The record is from RNAcentral.
GACGAACGCUGGCGGCGUGCUUAACACAUGCAAGUCGAGCGGUAAGGCCCUUUCGGGGGUACACGAGCGGCGAACGGGUGAGUAACACGUGGGUGACCUGCCCUCAGCUCUGGGAUAAGCCUGGGAAACCGGGUCUAAUACCGGAUAUGACUCCAUGACGCAUGUUGUGGGGUGGAAAGCCUUGUGCGGCUGAGGAUGGGCCCGCGGCCUAUCAGCUUGUUGGUGGGGGUG